UCCUGGCUAGGACGAACGCUGGCGGCGUGCCUAACACAUGCAAGUCGAACGAAGCAUUUGGAGUUGAUCCUUCGGGGUGACGCACCUUAUGACUUAGUGGCGGACGGGUGAGUAACACGUGAGCAACCUGCCUCUCAGAGUGGAAUAACAGUUGGAAACGGCUGCUAAUACCACAUAACGUUUUUUGUGCCGCAUGACACUUCAACCAAAGAUUUAUCGCUGAGAGAUGGGCUCGCGUCCGAUUAGGUAGAUGGUGGGGUAACGGCCUACCAUGCCGACGAUCGGUAGCCGGACUGAGAGGUUGAUCGGCCACAUUGGGACUGAGACACGGCCCAGACUCCUACGGGAGGCAGCAGUGGGGGAUAUUGCACAAUGGGGGAAACCCUGACGCAGCGACGCCCGCGUGAGCGAAGAAGGCCUUAGGGUCGUAAAGCUCUGUUUUAAGGGACGAAUGUCGCGGGUAAUAAUACGAUCUGCGAAUGACGGUACCUUAAGAGGAAGCCCCGGCUAACUACGUGCCAGCCGCCGC
Molecule: ribosomal RNA, 529 nt
Filed under: uncultured bacterium
Lineage: Bacteria
Description: bacterial SSU rRNA
Rfam family: Bacterial small subunit ribosomal RNA
Source: RNAcentral